RNAcentral lists this transfer RNA (65 nucleotides) under Halyomorpha halys (brown marmorated stink bug). RNAcentral describes it as "tRNA-Pro". The record is from RNAcentral. Lineage: Eukaryota; Metazoa; Arthropoda; Insecta; Hemiptera; Pentatomidae.
CAGUAAAUAGUUUAUAAAAAUAUCAAUUUUGGAGAUUGAAGAUAAGUUAGAUUUCUUUUUACUGA